This 68-nucleotide transfer RNA is filed under the name Platyscapa corneri. RNAcentral's name for it is "tRNA-Tyr". It matches the Rfam family "tRNA". From Rfam's summary of the family: Transfer RNA (tRNA) molecules are approximately 80 nucleotides in length. Their secondary structure includes four short double-helical elements and three loops (D, anti-codon, and T loops). Further hydrogen bonds mediate the characteristic L-shaped molecular structure. tRNAs have two regions of fundamental functional importance: the anti-codon, which is responsible for specific mRNA codon recognition, and the 3' end, to which the tRNAs corresponding amino acid is attached (by aminoacyl-tRNA synthetases). tRNAs cope with the degeneracy of the genetic code in two manners: having more than one tRNA (with a specific anti-codon) for a particular amino acid; and 'wobble' base-pairing, i.e. permitting non-standard base-pairing at the 3rd anti-codon position. Lineage: Eukaryota; Metazoa; Arthropoda; Insecta; Hymenoptera; Agaonidae. The record is from RNAcentral.
AGUAAUAUGUCUGAUUAAAGUAAUAAACUGUAAAUUUAUUUAAAGAAAAUUAAAUUUUCUUAUUACUA